Long non-coding RNA from Dermacentor silvarum, 2897 nucleotides. RefSeq lists it as uncharacterized. NCBI's taxonomy places the organism in Eukaryota, Metazoa, Arthropoda, Arachnida, Ixodida, Ixodidae. The record is from RefSeq and is a predicted model, not a curated record. The transcript is spliced from 3 exons.
AGCCGCGGCCUGUCCAUAACCGUGCCUCCUCCGAUCGGCGACGGCGACCACGACGCCACGGUGCGCGCGCUAGCGUAAGCUCUUGUCGCGCGGCGUCACCAGUAGUUUCCCAUCCGCGCUCUUACCGGCGGGCAGCCAUGUGCGUCGAGUUUGUCAUCUUCGUACGCAACCUGGGAGCCCUGGUCAGAGCCACGGUGGGAGGUCACUCCGUCGACCGGCCGCAGCCAAUGGACACACCCGAAUUCGGCGGUCGCGUGGUCGAGCGAUCGAGUCGUGAGGUGGCCACCAAGGUGAAGGAGUCCUAGGCUGUGACGUAGCCGUGGCCGGUGCAGCGGCGGGCACCCUCCUCGGUCGUGACCGCUAACACCACUACUACACCACCACCUUCCGCUGGUUCCCGGUGCGAGGCCUCCGCGGGGCACGUGACUUCGCUGUCCUUUGGGGCAGAAACCGACACCUUCGGCGCCGGGCUGCCCACCACACCGUGGACGUGAUCGUCGGUUGUAAAACAUGAUGGUUGUUACAUUGAUGGUUGUAAAAGCAUGAUAAACGUAGCCCCCACGUGGUCUCACGUAUACACGUACAUACACGCCCCAACACCUUCGUCACACGGCAGAGCUUGAGCUUUCAUACUUUAAAUCGAAGAUCCGUUAGAACGAGACAGGUAUAUACCAGAACGUUUCGUAAUGCGGUACAGUAACUCCAUAUGUUUGCGGUGUCAUCCUCGAGGAAAUGAUGCGGAAUUCGUGCUGGCGCACCCUGUGUCCAAGUCGCGAAGAAUAGCGCUGGGAAUAUACGAAAUUAUUCGGCUGCAUGCGGAAACGUUACAAUGUGAAAGAGAGAGAGGAGGUAGCAGCACAUAGCCUGGUAGUGCAGGGUCAAAGACAGAACAUGGACGUUACGGAAUCUCCUCCUGAGAUCGGGCAAUAGAAAAUUUGUGCAGCAAUUGCAACAAACGAAAAUCUUGGUGCAACAGUUUUGAAAGCAGCUUUUGAGACCACAUACAAAUACAUUAAUUAGUCAGCUGGUACUAUUUACAAUGUAAAAACCCGUGCCGCUAACCUGUGAGCAUAGUAUAAAUCCCAUUGUUCCACGCCUUCCCCCUGAGCUCCCAAUCCGGUAGGAAUCGCCGCGAUUGCUUUUUACUGUGCCCGUUCAGUACGUUGGUGCGUGUACGCAUAUUUUGGCUUGUAUACUUACUGAUUGUUUAAAAGGAUACUGAAGAUGAAUAGAAUGUUAUGACGUAUUUGUGAAUCACGCUUCACGCUACAGGCAGAACGACCACAUUUAUUACGAGCGGAGGCUCGGUAACCCGGACAAGGGACGCUAAACCAAACAACUGGUGGCGACGCCACCGGGAAUUUCCCGCAACUACUCACCUCUGUCGUGGCUUCCGCGAUCGGCUCCGGCAGCGCGCUGCCGGAGCUGAUCGCGGAGGCCACGCCUUGGCUUCGCGGAUUUCCACAACGUCUGUACUCGGGUCCAGUCAUAAAUAAGGACCACCGUUGCAUUGCAUAAGAACCGACUACUCUGCCCAGCAGUUUUCGAGAACUUUACCGGCGGCAAAACGGCCCAAAUACCAAAGGAUAUUUUCGAAAUCCGCGGCAUCACAGUUGCGCGCCGGCGUUGAGGUUCAGGCACGAAAUACAAAUGUGAAAUCUGGCCUUUAUUAAGGCGAAAGCCUUAUAUGUCUCAUCGUUCAGUCGACCUUCAACGUCCUUUAGCGAUAGCCGUGUCGUCGACGCGAAAUCGUACACGAUGACGACGCAUCGUGUCUUACCUAUAUAUGCAAACGCCCGCGCAACAAUUUUGAUGGUGCUUGGGUCACCGUCGUUAUCGUGUUAAUUAAGAUAGAGUUGAUUCAGGCACUCGAACCCGUGACCUUCGGUGGGAGUCGUACCCUCGAGCUUUUGUGGUAGUCGAAUCCACCACCUUUGGCUUUCAGACGAAGUUAAUUAAGGCACAGUGUAUUGGUUGCCUUUCUCGUCUUUUGUGUUUCAUAUCGACAUAUCUGUCGUUUCGAGGGAUUUGAGGCAUCCGACGAUUUGAUCGCUCUGGCAAAAGUUGCAAUUUUUCCGGUGCAAUAUUUGUUUGGUGCUUCAAGUGUAUUAAAUGUGAAGUGUAUGCGUACGCUGUAUCUUUUCUCUCGCCCACGCUAUUUUUGCGGCCGCAUAAGUAUGUCCCUUCUCCCGACGUACAAGUGGUACAAUGUUGUGCACCUAAUGAGUUAGUAUCUGCACUGGCUGUUGCUCAAGUUCAAUGUUCCAUUACCUGCACGCGUAGGUACCUUUCACACGGUGGAGUAGAUAACCCAUGCGGGGCAUUCCAAUAAACCAAACUGGAGAAAACGGUACGAACGACACUGUAGCGUUGGUGCCAUGGCAUAGUUCCUGAUUUGCUUAGCUUAAAUACGAUAGCAGAACUACCUCUACUAUACCAAAAAUCUCAUUCAGUCGUCGCCCACUGCCGUGUGGCGCGGAGUUCGUCGAACCUAUACACUACACAGAAAGACAAAUAGUGAAAGAAAAAAAAAAGAGCAUCGUCAUCCACCUCCUGUCUUGUCGGCGUCACAUAUCCGUCAUGUAUGCCCCAAUCUAUGCCCGCGGACUGCGUAGUGCGCCUGCCCCGCUCACUGUGUAGUCUUGUGUACUUUUGUGCCACCCGACAUCCUGUCUCGGUCAUUCGUUGGUGAUCAUCCUCACACCCUCGUGCAUUCCCUUCUCCCUUCGCGCUCAAGUUUUAAUGGAUCCUUUGUCAACGAGUGACGAGCCGCCGCUCCGAUGCAUCCAAAGUAAAAUGUGCACCCACUACAUAAACACGUUGUUUACAACUCCGACUACUGUGCACCAGUUGUUGUUCGUCGUGCAUAGAGGAAAGAAUAAAGGCCGUCUCCUGGU